This is a long non-coding RNA of Oncorhynchus keta (chum salmon), 453 nucleotides long. RefSeq lists it as uncharacterized. The transcript has 3 exons. The record is from RefSeq and is a predicted model, not a curated record. NCBI's taxonomy places the organism in Eukaryota, Metazoa, Chordata, Actinopteri, Salmoniformes, Salmonidae.
CUAUUCUAUACUGUUAGUGGAGGUUGAUCAUCUCUAACCAUGACCCAGACAGUAUUUUACUAUUCUAUACUGUUAGAGGUGGUUGAUCAUCUCUAACCAUGACCCAGACAGUAUUUUACUAUUCUAUACUGUUAGAGGUGGUUGAUCAUCUCUAACCAUGACCCAGACAGUAUUUUACUAUUCUAUACUGUUAGUGGAGGUUGAUCAUCUCUAACCAUGACCCAGACAGUAUUUUACUAUUCUAUACUGUUAGUGGAGGUUUAUCAUCUCUAACCAUGACCCAGACAGUAUUUUACUAUUCUAUACUGUUAGAGGUGGUUGAUCAUCUCUAACCAUGACCCAGACAGUACUCUAUACUGUUAGAGGUGGUUGAUCAUCUCUAACCAUGACCCAGACAGUAUUUUACUAUUCUAUACUGUUAGUGGAGGUUUAUCAUCUCUAACCAUGACCCAG